Non-coding RNA from Fusarium musae, 89 nucleotides. Lineage: Eukaryota; Fungi; Ascomycota; Sordariomycetes; Hypocreales; Nectriaceae. The record is from the annotation of a RefSeq genome assembly.
GGUCGAGUGGUGUAGUGGUUAUCACGUCUGCCUCACACUAUCAUAAUAGUGUACGCAGAAGGUCUCGAGUUCAAUCCUCGGUUCGACCU